UUAAAUUGAAGAGUUUGAUCAUGGCUCAGAUUGAACGCUGGCGGCAGGCCUAACACAUGCAAGUCGAACGGUAACAGGAAGCAGCUUGCUGCUUUGCUGACGAGUGGCGGACGGGUGAGUAAUGUCUGGGAAACUGCCUGAUGGAGGGGGAUAACUACUGGAAACGGUAGCUAAUACCGCAUAACGUCGCAAGACCAAAGAGGGGGACCUUCGGGCCUCUUGCCAUCGGAUGUGCCCAGAUGGGAUUAGCUUGUUGGUGGGGUAACGGCUCACCAAGGCGACGAUCCCUAGCUGGUCUGAGAGGAUGACCAGCCACACUGGAACUGAGACACGGUCCAGACUCCUACGGGAGGCAGCAGUGGGGAAUAUUGCACAAUGGGCGCAAGCCUGAUGCAGCCAUGCCGCGUGUAUGAAGAAGGCCUUCGGGUUGUAAAGUACUUUCAGCGGGGAGGAAGGGAGUAAAGUUAAUACCUUUGCUCAUUGACGUUACCCGCAGAAGAAGCACCGGCUAACUCCGUGCCAGCAGCCGCGGUAAUACGGAGGGUGCAAGCGUUAAUCGGAAUUACUGGGCGUAAAGCGCACGCAGGCGGUUUGUUAAGUCAGAUGUGAAAUCCCCGGGCUCAACCUGGGAACUGCAUCUGAUACUGGCAAGCUUGAGUCUCGUAGAGGGGGGUAGAAUUCCAGGUGUAGCGGUGAAAUGCGUAGAGAUCUGGAGGAAUACCGGUGGCGAAGGCGGCCCCCUGGACGAAGACUGACGCUCAGGUGCGAAAGCGUGGGGAGCAAACAGGAUUAGAUACCCUGGUAGUCCACGCCGUAAACGAUGUCGACUUGGAGGUUGUGCCCUUGAGGCGUGGCUUCCGGAGCUAACGCGUUAAGUCGACCGCCUGGGGAGUACGGCCGCAAGGUUAAAACUCAAAUGAAUUGACGGGGGCCCGCACAAGCGGUGGAGCAUGUGGUUUAAUUCGAUGCAACGCGAAGAACCUUACCUGGUCUUGACAUCCACGGAAGUUUUCAGAGAUGAGAAUGUGCCUUCGGGAACCGUGAGACAGGUGCUGCAUGGCUGUCGUCAGCUCGUGUUGUGAAAUGUUGGGUUAAGUCCCGCAACGAGCGCAACCCUUAUCCUUUGUUGCCAGCGGUCCGGCCGGGAACUCAAAGGAGACUGCCAGUGAUAAACUGGAGGAAGGUGGGGAUGACGUCAAGUCAUCAUGGCCCUUACGACCAGGGCUACACACGUGCUACAAUGGCGCAUACAAAGAGAAGCGACCUCGCGAGAGCAAGCGGACCUCAUAAAGUGCGUCGUAGUCCGGAUUGGAGUCUGCAACUCGACUCCAUGAAGUCGGAAUCGCUAGUAAUCGUGGAUCAGAAUGCCACGGUGAAUACGUUCCCGGGCCUUGUACACACCGCCCGUCACACCAUGGGAGUGGGUUGCAAAAGAAGUAGGUAGCUUAACCUUCGGGAGGGCGCUUACCACUUUGUGAUUCAUGACUGGGGUGAAGUCGUAACAAGGUAACCGUAGGGGAACCUGCGGUUGGAUCACCUCCUUACCUUAAAGAAGC
Molecule: ribosomal RNA, 1556 nt
Filed under: Escherichia coli
Lineage: Bacteria; Pseudomonadati; Pseudomonadota; Gammaproteobacteria; Enterobacterales; Enterobacteriaceae
Also listed under: 2 other names
Description: bacterial SSU rRNA
Rfam family: Bacterial small subunit ribosomal RNA
Source: RNAcentral